AGAGAAGAGAGCACUUGACUAAUUGAUCUUCGCUGCUUAUCUCGUGGUCUCAUCUUCACCUUCUGCAGGUCUGAUCAGAUUAGCUGUAAAUGGAUCCACUCAGUGCUCUGGAAGAGUUGAAAUCUAUAACUCUUACUCUUACCCUUACUAUUCCUGGGGAACAGUGUGUGAUUACGACUGGGACUUAAAAGAUGCUGAGGUGGUCUGUAGAGAGCAGAGCUGUGGGAUAGCUCUGGAGGCUCUUGGGUCUGCUUACUUUGGUCAAGGUACAGGAACUUUCUUGCACAGUAAUGUGGACUGUUCAGGAAGUGAAACUUCUAUAGACAAUUGUAGGUACAGCAGCUAUAUUAGUUAUUCCUGUCACCAUGGUCGGGAUGCUGGCGUCGUCUGUUCAGGUAAGAAAACUUUUCUAUAAUGUUUAUGGUCUUAUCACUUUACAAUAGCUGUUUUUUUCAUGUACUUGUCAAUACUUAGAUUCUAGUUAGUUCUCAUUCCAUCAUAUUUUACUUUCCCUGAAAAUAUGUUCAAAUGAAUUAAACAAACAAAUUUAGGUGUUUGUUUCAUUACACUCACUUUGUCUGUUGAACAUGUCUGCAGCUUAAUGCAUAUUUAAUGAGAUAACUGAUUUGCAUAGUUUAAAGAUUCCAUGUUAACCUGUUUCUUACUGAAAAAAUGUUUUAAUAAUAUUUUCCAAUUAAAAAAUGUAAAUACAUAUCUUUAACGGUGAUUUUAUUUAAUUAGACAAACAGAAUUUUCCACUUCAGCAGCAAUUAGACACACCAAACUUUCUGAUGUUCUGACCUUUAUUUUGAAGGCUUGUGAAGAACUUUGAGCUCAGACGUCACUUAAAGCCUAAUUUACAGACUUUUCAUCUUGAAAAAGCGUGUCACCGUAAAGAUCCUAAAAAUGUGACUGUUGAAAGUAUUUUCUAAUUCAUGCAAUGUUUAGAAAAAGUCAUUUUUCUUUUUAGACAGCAUUACAAUAUGUGCAGCGCAGCAUUUUCAGUGCUUGUCCAAAAAAGUGAACUCUUUAAUUUAAACAUUUCUCUUUAGCAGCAAUAACUUAAAACUAUUGUGUUCAAAAAGCUGCAGGGUUAAAAAAAAGUUUCCACCUAAGCCUAGACUUGUAGUCAAGACCGCCUAAUCCGAGACCAAGACAAGACCAAGACCGAGACAAAAAAAGUCUUUAAACUGCAGCCAGAUGCUGCUUCGU
Oreochromis aureus is the source of this 1212-nucleotide long non-coding RNA. RefSeq lists it as uncharacterized. The record is from RefSeq and is a predicted model, not a curated record. The transcript has 3 exons. Lineage: Eukaryota; Metazoa; Chordata; Actinopteri; Cichliformes; Cichlidae.